Molecule: ribosomal RNA, 1506 nt
Filed under: metagenome
Description: bacterial SSU rRNA
Rfam family: Bacterial small subunit ribosomal RNA
Source: RNAcentral
AGAGUUUGAUCCUGGCUCAGGACGAACGCUGGCGGCGUGCCUAAUACAUGCAAGUAGAACGCUGAAGAGAGGAGCUUGCUCUUCUUGGAUGAGUUGCGAACGGGUGAGUAACGCGUAGGUAACCUGCCUUGUAGCGGGGGAUAACUAUUGGAAACGAUAGCUAAUACCGCAUAACAAUGGAUGACACAUGUCAUUUAUUUGAAAGGGGCAAUUGCUCCACUACAAGAUGGACCUGCGUUGUAUUAGCCAGUAGGUGAGGUAACGGCUCACCUAGGCGACGAUACAUAGCCGACCUGAGAGGGUGAUCGGCCACACUGGGACUGAGACACGGCCCAGACUCCUACGGGAGGCAGCAGUAGGGAAUCUUCGGCAAUGGGGGCAACCCUGACCGAGCAACGCCGCGUGAGUGAAGAAGGUUUUCGGAUCGUAAAGCUCUGUUGUAAGUCAAGAACGAGUGUGAGAGUGGAAAGUUCACACUGUGACGGUAGCUUACCAGAAAGGGACGGCUAACUACGUGCCAGCAGCCGCGGUAAUACGUAGGUCCCGAGCGUUGUCCGGAUUUAUUGGGCGUAAAGCGAGCGCAGGCGGUUUGAUAAGUCUGAAGUUAAAGGCUGUGGCUCAACCAUAGUUCGCUUUGGAAACUGUCAAACUUGAGUGCAGAAGGGGAGAGUGGAAUUCCAUGUGUAGCGGUGAAAUGCGUAGAUAUAUGGAGGAACACCGGUGGCGAAAGCGGCUCUCUGGUCUGUAACUGACGCUGAGGCUCGAAAGCGUGGGGAGCGAACAGGAUUAGAUACCCUGGUAGUCCACGCCGUAAACGAUGAGUGCUAGGUGUUGGAUCCUUUCCGGGAUUCAGUGCCGCAGCUAACGCAUUAAGCACUCCGCCUGGGGAGUACGACCGCAAGGUUGAAACUCAAAGGAAUUGACGGGGGCCCGCACAAGCGGUGGAGCAUGUGGUUUAAUUCGAAGCAACGCGAAGAACCUUACCAGGUCUUGACAUCCCGAUGCUAUUUCUAGAGAUAGAAAGUUACUUCGGUACAUCGGUGACAGGUGGUGCAUGGUUGUCGUCAGCUCGUGUCGUGAGAUGUUGGGUUAAGUCCCGCAACGAGCGCAACCCCUAUUGUUAGUUGCCAUCAUUCAGUUGGGCACUCUAGCGAGACUGCCGGUAAUAAACCGGAGGAAGGUGGGGAUGACGUCAAAUCAUCAUGCCCCUUAUGACCUGGGCUACACACGUGCUACAAUGGUUGGUACAACGAGUUGCGAGUCGGUGACGGCAAGCUAAUCUCUUAAAGCCAAUCUCAGUUCGGAUUGUAGGCUGCAACUCGCCUACAUGAAGUCGGAAUCGCUAGUAAUCGCGGAUCAGCACGCCGCGGUGAAUACGUUCCCGGGCCUUGUACACACCGCCCGUCACACCACGAGAGUUUGUAACACCCGAAGUCGGUGAGGUAACCUUUUGGAGCCAGCCGCCUAAGGUGGGAUAGAUGAUUGGGGUGAAGUCGUAACAAGGUA